GAUUGUCAGUUUGUUUUCUGAGUAUGUCUAUGGUUAACUGACUUCCUGUGCAGGAGACACAGCCAUAGUCUAACCACAGAGACAUGCAGUUUCCAGCUCUAACAAUGAGAGCUAGGACCCAUGAGGUCUGGGAAAACCUGGGCCUGAAUGUUCCCACUUCAUUUGGAGCUCCUGCCUCAACAACAGCAGCCAAGUUCCCAGGGGGUGCCAGGGAAAUGACUGAAUGAAGAGUUAAAAGACCCAAGUCUCAUCUCCUGCCACCUUAGAACUCCUCACGGAAGAGAAAAAUUCUACAGUAAGAGAAGCUAAACAAUACACAUAUAAACAAGCAAAUACUGCAUGGCGGUAAGCGCCAUAAAGGAAAACAAAACAAGACCGGAGUGCAAUGGCACAACCUUUCCUCACUGCAGCCUUGAUCUCCUGGGCUCAAGCGAUUCCCCCACCUCAGCCUCCCGAGUAGCUGGGAUUUCAGAUGUGCACCACCAUGCCCAGGUAACUUUUGUAUUUUUUGUAGAAACAGUCUUACUAUGUUACCCAGGCUGGCUUCAAGCUCCUG
Pan troglodytes (chimpanzee) is the source of this 556-nucleotide long non-coding RNA. RefSeq lists it as uncharacterized. The record is from RefSeq and is a predicted model, not a curated record. Lineage: Eukaryota; Metazoa; Chordata; Mammalia; Primates; Hominidae. The transcript is spliced from 3 exons.